RNAcentral lists this long non-coding RNA (229 nucleotides) under Capsicum annuum. RNAcentral's name for it is "long non-coding RNA (CANN_LNC020343)". The record is from RNAcentral. Lineage: Eukaryota; Viridiplantae; Streptophyta; Magnoliopsida; Solanales; Solanaceae.
UCAAAGUGAAAUAGUCUAGCUGGUACAGGAGUUUGGAUGAUAUGAUUAUGUGUUCAAGACAAACUUAGAUAACAUUGAUUACAUCAGAAGCCGAGUUAGAUCAUACUAGAAGUCUUGAAGAAGUCAAGUUGAUCAAGGAGUUCAGUAAGAAGAGGAUUUGAAUUAAAAGAAUCCUAUCAAAACUAGGAGAGGUGAGGUGGCAGCAAAAGGGAAAAAAAUUAACUGAUAG